RNAcentral lists this ribosomal RNA (708 nucleotides) under uncultured Marinobacter sp. RNAcentral describes it as "bacterial SSU rRNA". It matches the Rfam family "Bacterial small subunit ribosomal RNA", at positions 39 to 738 of the family's 1533-position model. Lineage: Bacteria; Pseudomonadati; Pseudomonadota; Gammaproteobacteria; Pseudomonadales; Marinobacteraceae. The record is from RNAcentral.
GCGGCAGGCUUAACACAUGCAAGUCGAGCGGUAACAGAUCUAGCUUGCUAGAUGCUGACGAGCGGCGGACGGGUGAGUAAUGCAUAGGAAACUGCCCAGUAGUGGGGGAUAGCCCGGGGAAACCCGGAUUAAUACCGCGUACGCCCUUCGGGGGAAAGCAGGGGAUCUUCGGACCUUGCGCUAUUGGAUGUGCCUAUGUCGGAUUAGCUAGUUGGUGGGGUAAAGGCCUACCAAGGCGACGAUCCGUAGCUGGUCUGAGAGGAUGAUCAGCCACAUCGGGACUGAGACACGGCCCGAACUCCUACGGGAGGCAGCAGUGGGGAAUAUUGGACAAUGGGGGCAACCCUGAUCCAGCCAUGCCGCGUGUGUGAAGAAGGCUUUCGGGUUGUAAAGCACUUUCAGUGAGGAGGAAAAGUUAGUCAUUAAUACUGGCUAGCCUUGACGUUACUCACAGAAGAAGCACCGGCUAACUCCGUGCCAGCAGCCGCGGUAAUACGGAGGGUGCAAGCGUUAAUCGGAAUUACUGGGCGUAAAGCGCGCGUAGGUGGUUUGAUAAGCGAGAUGUGAAAGCCCCGGGCUUAACCUGGGAACGGCAUUUCGAACUGUCAGGCUAGAGUAUGGUAGAGGGUAGUGGAAUUUCCUGUGUAGCGGUGAAAUGCGUAGAUAUAGGAAGGAACACCAGUGGCGAAGGCGGCUACCUGGACCAAU